This 2072-nucleotide long non-coding RNA is filed under the name Gallus gallus (chicken). RNAcentral's name for it is "lncRNA (ENSGALG00010017164.1)". The record is from RNAcentral. Lineage: Eukaryota; Metazoa; Chordata; Aves; Galliformes; Phasianidae.
UGCUGACUUAUUUCCAGGAUCGCUGCAGCCCUUCACGGUCGCCGUUUCCCAGGACUGAGCUCACUCUCCUGAAGAAUGACUCCGGCCUCUGUUUCCUAAGGGAUGACCUGAGAUGUUAGAACAAAUGCCGUUUCCUUGCUCUCAGUGCUAGGACAGAGUCAGGAGCUGAAUCCCAGAGGACUCUCCCGGAUACAGCAACCGUAGGAGGAAUCUGCUGCUGUAAUUGCAUUUCUGGGGCAUCGGGCAUUUUCUGAUUCAUUUAAUACGUGCCAUGUUGCAUUUGUUACAGAUCAGACACACAACAGGAGCCCUAUUACCUUAGAAGCACGGCUAUUAUUGAGUACUGACUUAAUUAGGGAUCAGGCUGGUUUGACAGAACCCAUCCUGCCCAGUCUCCCACUGCUGGGCGUUGUGUCCUCCUUCCAGCCCCGGUUCACUGCCCAGCACCAGGCAGAGGGGCCAUCGCUGCUGGUACCCCCCGACCCAUCUGCUUUCCCACAUGGCCCAUGGUGUUCCCAGACCCCCAGACUUACUGCUGGGUGGCAGUGGAGCUCAGCCCACCCCCGGCUCGGCUCACCCACCUGGCUGUGAGUUCCCCUGGCAGGGACGUGGUGCACUGUGCAGUUCCUGCUUCUGUAGUUUUCCACGGCUGCCAUUGUUUACACGGAGCACCCAAGGUUCCAAGGGCAUGUCCUCUGCACGCCGCCUGGAAACACACCCCGCACGGCGGCGGCUGUCCUGCGGCAGGGCUGGCACGAGGAGGCAGAUCUGCUUACCGCUCCCAUUCCCCGGAGGCUGGAUGUGCUGAGAUGUGCUGUGCGGUGGGAGGGCACCUCGGCGCAGUGACCUUGGAUGGGCAAAUGCACCUGUAAAAACAGCAGAGGUGGUGAGGAGAGGUUGGUCCUCCUGCUCCCACACUGCAGGCAGCUGCAUGUCCCCAGGAAGUGCGCAUCUGGGCACCCCCACAUCUAUACUGCUACCCCUGCAUCUCUGUACACCCACACAUCUGUACACCUGCACAUCUGGACUACUGCACCAUUGGCUCUGACGUCUCCAUGCAGGGCUCCAUAGCAUAUGGAAGCACAUAGGGCAGGAAUGGAGAGCCAGAGACCGUGGCAGUGUGUGGCAGAGCACAGCUUUGCGGGACUGAUGUGCACCAGCACCAAGAGGAUGCUGUAGGUGAUGGCCAGCGGGGAGCAGCCAGGGAUGUCUCUGGGUCUCAGUGUCAGCAUGGCCAGAGCCACUUGGUACCCAACUGACUGACCUGCUUCAGUGGAAGAUGGCCAAGUUGCUUAGAAAAAAUAAAAGUUGAAGCAAGCAAAUAUCAGGAGGGACGCAAGCCUUUACCCGCAGGCAGAAGGACGUGGAAGUUUUAUUGUUUUUCCUUUGGUGGUGUCCUUUUACAGUUUGGAUGCACAAUCCCAGCAAAACUUGGCUGGGAUGCAUCCGUGGCCGCUUCCCACCGCCUGCUGCCCUGCUCUGCUCCUGCAUGCAGAACUCGAAUAUGCUGAUGAAUGCAGCGUAAGCAGGAAAAAGGGGAGCACAGCAUGAUCGGAUGCAUUAACGGCUGCCUGCACGAGGCCCCUGUUCGUGUCCUGUGGUGUGUGUGAUAUUUCAUGUGACAGAGCUUUGCGACGCUUCAACUCUGUCCUGUCCGCAAAAUGACAGUCUGAUCAUCAUUGCUUUCUAUAGUUCGGGAAUGGUGGCAAAAGAGAUUUACUUUCCAGCCCCAGAUACUCUGAUCCUCUAAGGCAGCGUCCUACAAACCCAGGUACAGGUUCUUCUGUAUUGGCUGCAAGUGCUGGAACACUUUCUUCAUAGGAAUGAUAGAGAUGUGGAAGGACAAAACCAAAAUAUGCACUGCUGCAGUUUGUACAGCGUAAAAAAAUAAGGGAGCAUAAUCCAAAUAACAACAUCUAGUGCUUUUACAGGGCUCCGUGCAUAUGGCAUAAAUGACAGCUAAUUAAACUUUAUAUCCUGCCUGCAAGAUAAGCGUAUAAUUAGUAUUACAUCCCUUCUGUAAUUAGGAGACCGCAUGCAAAAAGCUGCGCCUGCAGACUGUGCUGGAAGGC